AGAGUUUGAUCAUGGCUCAGGACGAACGCUGGCGGCGUGCCUAAUACAUGCAAGUCGAGCGAACCAAUAAGAAGCUUGCUUUUUGUUGGUUAGCGGCGGACGGGUGAGUAACACGUGGGUAACCUGCCUGUAAGACCGGGAUAACUCCGGGAAACCGGUGCUAAUACCGGAUAGAUUAUCUUUCCGCCUGGAGAGAUAAGGAAAGAUGGCUAUUGCCAUCACUUACAGAUGGGCCCGCGGCGCAUUAGCUAGUUGGUGAGGUAACGGCUCACCAAGGCGACGAUGCGUAGCCGACCUGAGAGGGUGAUCGGCCACACUGGGACUGAGACACGGCCCAGACUCCUACGGGAGGCAGCAGUAGGGAAUCUUCCGCAAUGGACGAAAGUCUGACGGAGCAACGCCGCGUGAGCGAAGAAGGUCUUCGGAUCGUAAAGCUCUGUUGUUAGGGAAGAACAAGUAUCGGAGGAAAUGCCGGUACCUUGACGGUACCUGACGAGAAAGCCACGGCUAACUACGUGCCAGCAGCCGCGGUAAUACGUAGGUGGCAAGCGUUGUCCGGAUUUAUUGGACGUAAAGCGCGCGCAGGCGGUCCUUUAAGUCUGAUGUGAAAUCUUGCGGCUCAACCGCAAGCGGUCAUUGGAAACUGGGGGACUUGAGUGCAGAAGAGGAAAGCGGAAUUCCACGUGUAGCGGUGAGAUGCGUAGAGAUGUGGAGGAACACCAGUGGCGAAGGCGGCUUUCUGGUCUGUAACUGACGC
This 757-nucleotide ribosomal RNA is filed under the name uncultured bacterium. RNAcentral's name for it is "bacterial SSU rRNA". It matches the Rfam family "Bacterial small subunit ribosomal RNA", at positions 8 to 746 of the family's 1533-position model. The record is from RNAcentral.